CACCUUCUGCAGCUUCACCCAGGACUCGCCACACCGCAGAGGAAGAUGAAGGUCGCGGUGCUCAGCCUGGCCCUGCUCUUCACCGUCCUGCUGUGCGUGCCAGAAGAUGCUCAGGCACUCCUGGAAGGAAGUGGAGAUGUUAGCCUGGAUCCUCUGACCGAGGAGCAGAUAAGACUUCUUCUGCGCCAGAAACGCGUGCCUGUAGCUGCUGAUGUCCAGUUCCUCAAGUGAUGGUGACAGCCCUGUCCUGUCCCCCUCCAGCGGCAUGAGGAGAUGAUCAUCCCUGGAUGACCCCACCUGAUCCCCUGGGAGCCCUGGGCCAUUUCCCUCUCACGAUCAAUAAACCCCUUCAGCAAAGCUA
Molecule: long non-coding RNA, 361 nt
Organism: Aquila chrysaetos chrysaetos
Lineage: Eukaryota; Metazoa; Chordata; Aves; Accipitriformes; Accipitridae
Exons: 4
Source: RefSeq, a predicted model, not a curated record